Molecule: ribosomal RNA, 468 nt
Filed under: uncultured bacterium
Lineage: Bacteria
Description: partial 16S ribosomal RNA
Rfam family: Bacterial small subunit ribosomal RNA
Source: RNAcentral
GACGAACGCUGGCGGCGUGCUUAACACAUGCAAGUCGAACGGAAAGGCCCUGCUUUUGUGGGGGGCUCGAGUGGCGAACGGGUGAGUAACACGUGAGUAACCUGCCCUUGACUUUGGGAUAACUUCAGGAAACUGGGGCUAAUACCGGAUAGGAGCUCCUGCUGCAUGGUGGGGGUUGGAAAGUUUCGGCGGUUGGGGAUGGACUCGCGGCUUAUCAGCUUGUUGGUGGGGUAGUGGCUUACCAAGGCUUUGACGGGUAGCCGGCCUGAGAGGGUGACCGGCGACAUUGGGACUGAGAUACGGCCCAGAGUACUAGGGGAGGCAGCAGUGGGGAAUAUUGCACAAUGGGCGGAAGCCUGAUGCAGCAACGCCGCGUGCGGGAUGACGGCCUUCGGGUUGUAAACCGCUUUCGCCUGUGACGAAGCGUGAGUGACGGUAAUGGGUAAAGAAGCACCGGCUAACUACGUG